This 1084-nucleotide long non-coding RNA is filed under the name Ficedula albicollis (Collared flycatcher). RNAcentral describes it as "lncRNA (ENSFALG00000028725.1)". Lineage: Eukaryota; Metazoa; Chordata; Aves; Passeriformes; Muscicapidae. The record is from RNAcentral.
GGGGGGGGGGGGGGGGGGGGGGGGGGGGGGGGGGGGGGGGGGGGGGGGGGGGGGGGGGGCCUCCCCGCCCUGCCCCCCGCCGCCUUCCAGCCCUCGCUGCGCUCCCUGUCCGUGUCCUGCCGCUGUGACCUGCUGGGCACCGUCCUGGCUCCCUGUGCCCGCUCGGGGAUCCUCUGCCACUGCUUCACAUCCCAGCAGCAUCCCUUCGACGUCACGGAGUUCCACGGCCGGGAAUGCGGGUCCCGCGUGGGGCUGGUGGCCGGAGUGGCUGGGGCGGCUGCGGCCGUGGCCGCGCUGGUGGCCGUGGGCGCUGCCGUGGUUUGGUACCGGCGGAGGAGAACAGGAGGGGGCGGAGGAGAACGGGAGCCGCGGUGGCCGGUGCGGGAAGGGGGAAGCAGGAUCCCGCUGGGAACCUCCGGCAGCCCCGUUACAUCAGUCGGGACACCGGGAUCGGCAGCGCCGAUGUCGCCGAUGCCCCCGACUGGGGGGGGGGGGGGGGGGGGGGGGGGCCGAUGCCCCCGACUACGAGAACGUCUUCGUGAGCCCCGGAACGGCCCCGGCUGCCGCGCGGGGAUGGGCACCGGGAUGGCAGGAGCAGCGCUACGGCCCGCAGGUCCCGCUGGAUGAGGAUUAUUUCCUGGAGAGCGAGGCCGAUCCCGGGGACCAGCCCAUCUACGCCAACACCCUGGGCCCCACCGAGGAUGUUUACAUCAUCCCUGACCAGGGCCGAUGGAGAGCGCCGGGUGCGCGGGACGUGCUGGUGGUUGGGGACAUCCGGUGCCACCUGCGCCCUCCUUUCCUGCUAAAUCCGCCCCUUCAGGGAACAAAGAAAAAGCUCAUUUUUUAUUCCUCCUGUGAGACCCAGAGCUGUUGGGUGCCAUGGGGACAGAGGGACCCUAUGGCUUGUCUGGAUGUCCCCCCACCCAGCCCCUGGGAGGCUUCACUGUGUCCCAUUAAAUGGUUUAAUUAUCUCUAAUUACCUGCAUAGCUCGUGGUCUGUGGGGAGGCCUGGGCAGGACAUGGGGUUUCCUCUGGGGAUAGUCCCUGGAGCUGCCAGAGCCUGUGUCCCCAAAGUGGGGACAAG